CGCAGAUACCAGGUGGCUGCAACUGUUUAUUAAAAACACAGCACUGUGCAAAAUCGUAAGAUGACGUAUACGGUGUGACGCCUGCCCGGUGCCGGAAGGUUAAUUGAUGGGGUUAGACUUCGGUCGAAGCUCUUGAUCGAAGCCCCGGUAAACGGCGGCCGUAACUAUAACGGUCCUAAGGUAGCGAAAUUCCUUGUCGGGUAAGUUCCGACCUGCACGAAUGGCGUAAUGAUGGCCACGCUGUCUCCACCCGAGACUCAGUGAAAUUGAAAUCGCUGUGAAGAUGCAGUGUACCCGCGGCUAGACGGAAAGACCCCGUGAACCUUUACUACAGCUUGGCACUGAACAUUGACCCUACAUGUGUAGGAUAGGUGGGAGGCUUUGAAGCACGUACGCCAGUAUGUGUGGAGCCGUCCUUGAAAUACCACCCUUGUAGUGUUGAUGUUCUAACGUCGACCCCUAAUCGGGGUUGCGGACAGUGCCUGGUGGGUAGUUUGACUGGGGCGGUCUCCUCCCAAAGAGUAACGGAGGAGCACGAAGGUGGGCUAAUCACGGUUGGACAUCGUGAGGUUAGUGCAAUGGCAUAAGCCCGCUUGACUGCGAGAAUGACAAUUCGAGCAGGUGCGAAAGCAGGUCAUAGUGAUCCGGUGGUUCUGAAUGGAAGGGCCAUCGCUCAACGGAUAAAAGGUACUCCGGGGAUAACAGGCUGAUACCGCCCAAGAGUUCAUAUCGACGGCGGUGUUUGGCACCUCGAUGUCGGCUCAUCACAUCCUGGGGCUGAAGUCGGUCCCAAGGGUAUGGCUGUUCGCCAUUUAAAGUGGUACGCGAGCUGGGUUUAGAACGUCGUGAGACAGUUCGGUCCCUAUCUGCCGUGGGCGUUGGAAGAUUGAAGGGGGCUGCUCCUAGUACGAGAGGACCGGAGUGGACGAACCUCUGGUGUUCGGGUUGUGUCGCCAGACGCAUUGCCCGGUAGCUAAGUUCGGAAUCGAUAACCGCUGAAAGCAUCUAAGCGGGAAGCGAGCCCUGAGAUGAGUCUUCCCUGAUACUUUAAGUAUCCUAAAGGGUUGUCGGAGACUACGACGUUGAUAGGUCAGGUGUGUAAGUGCUGUGAGGCAUUGAGCUAACUGAUACUAAUUGCCCGUGAGGCUUAACCAUACAACAC
Molecule: ribosomal RNA, 1162 nt
Filed under: Vibrio parahaemolyticus
Lineage: Bacteria; Pseudomonadati; Pseudomonadota; Gammaproteobacteria; Vibrionales; Vibrionaceae
Description: partial 23S ribosomal RNA
Rfam family: Bacterial large subunit ribosomal RNA
Source: RNAcentral